This 67-nucleotide transfer RNA is filed under the name Leptocimbex praiaformis. RNAcentral's name for it is "tRNA-Thr". The record is from RNAcentral. Lineage: Eukaryota; Metazoa; Arthropoda; Insecta; Hymenoptera; Cimbicidae.
GUUUUAAUAAUUUAAUUUAAAAAUAUUGAUUUUGUAAAUCAAAAAUAAGAUAAAAUCUUUUAAAACU